This 504-nucleotide long non-coding RNA is filed under the name Linum usitatissimum (flax). RNAcentral's name for it is "long non-coding RNA (LUSI_LNC001730)". Lineage: Eukaryota; Viridiplantae; Streptophyta; Magnoliopsida; Malpighiales; Linaceae. The record is from RNAcentral.
AACCCGGGACAACCAGCUGCCAAUCUUGGCAAAGUCUUUGUCGUUAAUCUCCACGGUCGCACGAGUUGUAGCCGUAUUCUCCACGGACUGUACCGUCCCUCCUUUAUCCACCUCACGGCUCUUGGGUGAAACAGGGGGCUCGUUACAUGGAAGCCAACGCGAUACUUGUAAAAACGGAAGAAUCAAGGCGGCUUUCACUGGAGAAAUCCCGAACACGGCCGACGAAGACGGCGAGGAAAAUGAAAUUCCAGCCGUUGACUUCACGAGCGAGAUCAAUCCAGAGGCGAUCGGGGAGCUAGAGCUGUCUCCAAGCGCCUCCGUCUCAAUCGUGCUGUACAUAGAAGCAUGAGUCCUCCGGUGACUCGGCUGGAAACCACCACGGGACUUGUUAGGUUCCGAAUCCACGCUCUGAUUGGACGGAGUGGCGAAGAUCCGAGAGCGAAUCCAGCACUCCGUGAGCGAGGCCCGGCAGUUUCCAACGCGAGCACCGGCGGAGGAAGCAAG